Molecule: long non-coding RNA, 798 nt
Filed under: Volvox carteri
Lineage: Eukaryota; Viridiplantae; Chlorophyta; Chlorophyceae; Chlamydomonadales; Volvocaceae
Description: long non-coding RNA (VCAR_LNC001112)
Source: RNAcentral
CAACGUCACAAUCUUAUGCGCAAAAACGCCUCAAACCAUACAGAGAAAUUGUCCUGGAAUUCCAUACAAUGAGAAACCGCGGUGUAAACGCGUCUGCAGGAUUUGCCUCGGAGAGGGUGGAGUGUUAUCGCGGCCAUGCAUGUGUCCCCGGUCCGUUCAUCCAACGUGCUUAGCACGAUGGCAAUUACAACAAGCAGGACGCAAGGUACGAAUUUUCGGAGCCGGCCAGCCUUCUGACAUGGUCCAUGACGCAUGGCGCCUCGCAAGCGUCCUGCAUAGAGGACAAGCAAGGGUGCAUGUAGCGAUGAUAUAUCUUCGUAACUUUGUUUGAUUCUGUUUAACUUUGCGAUUCACGCGUUGUUUGUUCAGAGGUUGAGGUGGUUACUGUCAAAACGGGGCUUGCCUCUCCGUCUUCCUGACGUAACGCGGCUCCCCCCGGGCCCCCGGCCGCCCAUCUUCUUGUACAGGAGGAGAGAAGUUGUCGCUUUUGCAAUGCCAGCCUCCCUGACUGGAAGGCGCAACUGGCGCCAGCCCCGCCUGCGCCAGUGGAACCGGUCAUGGUGGUUAGCCUGGGCGGCAAGGCGGUGAAGAUGCGCGUCAAGCCAGGGCCCGAGGGCAUGGCGCAGUUUCGCCAACAAGUCAGAGAACUCUUCAACAUCCCAGCCGAUGUCGAGUUCGAGUGCUCCUUCAAGUGCAAAGCGCCGUCCGGUGAGCCCGUACGUACGUACGUACGUACGUAUGUUCGUAAAGGUUUGCUAUUUUGACCGAGUUGGUUGUUGGUCCCCCCCUCGCAACAAU